RNAcentral lists this ribosomal RNA (225 nucleotides) under Ditylum brightwellii. RNAcentral's name for it is "partial Bacterial large subunit ribosomal RNA". It matches the Rfam family "Bacterial large subunit ribosomal RNA", at positions 357 to 581 of the family's 2925-position model. The record is from RNAcentral. Lineage: Eukaryota; Bacillariophyta; Thalassiosirophyceae; Lithodesmiales; Lithodesmiaceae.
AAAGAGCGUGAUAGUCGCGUAUGCGAAAACAUUCGACUUCCAGUUUGACACCCGAGUAAUGCGGAACACGAGGAAUUCUGCAUGAAUUUGCCGGGACCAUCCGGUAAGGCUAAAUACUCCGAAGUGACCGAUAGUGAACCAGUACCGUGAGGGAAAGGCGAAAAGAACCCCGGAGAGGGGAGUGAAAUAGAUCCUGAAACCGUAUGCGUACAAGCAGUGGGAGCC